Molecule: non-coding RNA, 1277 nt
Organism: Rattus norvegicus (Norway rat)
Lineage: Eukaryota; Metazoa; Chordata; Mammalia; Rodentia; Muridae
Source: RefSeq, a predicted model, not a curated record
UGUGUGAGGAAGUCAGGUGCUAGUCAUGAGACUUAACUGCAGUCCCUGGCUCCAUCUUGGGACUGCUGCCGCACCUGCUCCCCACAUCCUUUGUGACUGUAUAGCUCAGAAUGGCUCACCAUGAUAUAGCUAUGGAAGAGUUGCUAAGUGCCAAAGACUGCAGUUUCUGGCCUGAGAGGAUCACAGAAUGCAGUGAGACCUCCAAGGAAGGAGAUGCCAAGUAGUGCUUCAAAGCUUCGGACCACAAUCAAACACAGCAUCCUUUUCAACAGAAGCAGAAGCUCAUCUGAAUAUGCUCAUGGAUGCUGACAUCAACAUUUAAUCAUCUCCUCACUCAUCCAGGAAGAGGGAGAGAUCAGUUACUACUGUACUUUAUUGUGUUCAACCAAAUCACCAUGUUACAAAAAUAGCAAGCUGCCACAAUAAAAAAUAAGGCUCCUCUAUCCAGAACCAGAUAGCAUCAUUUUACUUUCAAGCCUAGAAAUUGCACACUUGUAUAUAAACCAAUCGAAGAUGAGGAUUGAGAGUUCAUCUUGGUGGAUUUUUCCUUUGAUGAAUAUGAAGUGUCCUUCCUUAUCUUUUUUGAUGACUUUUAAUUGAAAAUUGAUUUUAUUUGAUAUUAGAAUGGCUACUCCAGCUUGCUUCUUCUGACCAUUUGCUUGGAAAGUUGUUUUCCAGCCUUUCACUCUGAGGUAGUGUCUGUCUUUGUCUCUGAGGUGUGUUUCCUGUCUGCAGCAGAAUGCAGGGUCCUCAUUGCGUAUCCAGUUUGUUAAUCUAUGUCUUUUUAUUGGGGAGUUGAGGCCAUUGAUGUUGAGAGAUAUUAAGGAAUAGUGAUUAUUGCUUCCUGUUAUAUUGAUAUUUGGAUGUGAGGUUAUGUUUGUGUGCUUUCAUUCUCUUUGUUUUGUUGCCAAGACGAUUAGUUUCUUGCUUCUUCUAGGUUAUAGCUUGCCUCCUUAUGUUGGGCUUUACCCUUUAUUAUCCUUUGUAGUGCUGGAUUUGUAGAAAGAUAUUGUGCAAAUUUGGUUUUGUCAUGGAAUAUCUUGGUUUCUCCAUCUAUGUUAAUUGAGAGUUUUGCUGGAUACAGUAACCUGGGCUGGCAUUUGUGUUCUCUGAGGGUCUGUAUGACAUCUGUCCAGGAUCUUCUGGCCUUCAUAGUUUCUGGCGAAAAGUCUGGUGUGAUUUUGAUAGGUCUGCCUUUAUAUGUUACUUGACCUUUUUCCCUUACUGCUUUUGAUAUUCUUUCUUUAUUUUGUGCAUUGGGUGUUUUGACAAUUAUG